AUGUGCAUUUGCAAUAGUGAUAAGGAGAAUAAAUCAAGAAUUGUGGAGGAAUGAACAAUAUGGGCUGCUUUAUGAAUUUAAGGACUCCACCCACCCCUAAAUCUCUCAUUCGCACCUAAUUAACAAGGUUAUUCCUAGUCCUUUUUCAUAUGACACAAAGACUAUGCCGGUAUAUGAGAGUGAGCACUGGGAUGGAAGACAUCAGAACCAUAACCAAGGAUACCUCCUCUGCUGUAAUAAUCCAAAGCUCAAGAAGCAACAUAAAUGAGUUGGAGUGGGAUCUUAGAGCUUAAGAAGCAAGUACUGUGGAUUACCUCCUUUCAGCAUGU
RNAcentral lists this long non-coding RNA (329 nucleotides) under Rosa chinensis. Its description in RNAcentral is "sRNA RchiOBHm_Chr4g0415791". The record is from RNAcentral. Lineage: Eukaryota; Viridiplantae; Streptophyta; Magnoliopsida; Rosales; Rosaceae.